ACAAACUUGGUCAUUUAGAGGAAGUAAAAGUCGUAACAAGGUUUCCGUAGGUGAACCUGCGGAAGGAUCAUUAACGAGUUAGGGUCUCACAGGCCCGACCUCCCAACCCUUUGUUUACUUGACCGUUUGUUGCUUCGGCAGGCCCGUCCUCGGACCGCCGGAGGAUCGUCGAGAGGCGUCCUCUGGCCCGCGCCUGCCGGUAGCCCAACCAAACUCUUGAAUAAUCGUGGUCAUAUCUAAGUCGUUUUUUAAUCAAAACAAAAACUUUCAACAACGGAUCUCUUGGUUCUGGCAUCGAUGAAGAACGCAGC
RNAcentral lists this unclassified non-coding RNA (311 nucleotides) under uncultured fungus. RNAcentral's name for it is "partial contains small subunit ribosomal RNA, internal transcribed spacer 1, and 5.8S ribosomal RNA". The stretch from base 1 to 73 matches the Rfam family "Eukaryotic small subunit ribosomal RNA", at positions 1759 to 1831 of the family's 1831-position model. Lineage: Eukaryota; Fungi. The record is from RNAcentral.